This 253-nucleotide ribosomal RNA is filed under the name uncultured bacterium. RNAcentral's name for it is "partial 16S ribosomal RNA". It matches the Rfam family "Bacterial small subunit ribosomal RNA", at positions 524 to 776 of the family's 1533-position model. The record is from RNAcentral.
UACAGAGGGUGCAAGCGUUGCUCGGAAUCAUUGGGCGUAAAGGGUAGGUAGGUGGUCUCAUUUGUCGGGGGUGAAAGCCUUGGGCUUAACCCAAGAAGUGCCCCCGAAACGGUGAGACUCGAGUAUUGGAGAGGCAAGUGGAAUUCCCGGUGUAGCGGUGAAAUGCGUAGAGAUCCGGAAGAACACCGGUGGCGAAGGCGGCCUGCUGGACCAUAACUGACACUCAGGGACGAAAGCUAGGGGAGCGAAUGGG